Molecule: long non-coding RNA, 511 nt
Organism: Ziziphus jujuba (common jujube)
Lineage: Eukaryota; Viridiplantae; Streptophyta; Magnoliopsida; Rosales; Rhamnaceae
Exons: 2
Source: RefSeq, a predicted model, not a curated record
CGGCUGGUCUGGAGCGUAGUUAGGACCUUGGGAGCGGAAGAAGAAGAAGAAGUUUGAAGGAAAUCCGUAAUCGGAAAUCGGAAAUCAGAAAUCAGAAAUCAGAAAUGGCGUGGAUGAGGGGUGAGCCAUUGGUGACAAAGCUAGCGGUGUUGGCAAAGUACGUGGUGCUUCCCGGAGCCAUGGUGGCUGCUCUGAUCUACUCUCCGCCUGAUUACGCAUCGUCUUCCGCCUCCUCGAAGAACGAUCAUAAAUUCGACAAAUAGAUCCACCGAGGGAUUUUGCUUCUCGGGACAUCUUGACUGCUUAGGUAUGGAUGCUUCCAAAUGUGGUCUCUAUUGAAGUUUGGUAUGUAAUAAUUUUCGGGAUAUAAUAAUUUCUCGAUUUCAUGCCUAGGCAUUUGGACAGUGAAUGGUUGUAUUUGUUACCUUUAAACAACUUUGAUGAAGAGUAGUUGAUUGUACUAAAUGCACCUUGAAAGCAAAUUAUUUCAGCUUGUGUUGUUGGAUGAUCA